RNAcentral lists this unclassified non-coding RNA (261 nucleotides) under Ascomycota sp. RNAcentral's name for it is "partial contains small subunit ribosomal RNA, internal transcribed spacer 1, and 5.8S ribosomal RNA". The stretch from base 1 to 47 matches the Rfam family "Eukaryotic small subunit ribosomal RNA", at positions 1785 to 1831 of the family's 1831-position model. The record is from RNAcentral. Lineage: Eukaryota; Fungi; Ascomycota.
AAAGUCGUAACAAGGUUUCCGUAGGUGAACCUGCGGAAGGAUCAUUACCUGGCCUUGGGCCGCUCACGGGGGCCCGUCGCUUGCGGCGGCGCUCCCGGGGGUGCUUAGCCCUUGACUAUUACCUUGAUUAUGCGCACCUUUGUUGUUCCCUCGGCAGGUCUCCUGCCGACAGGAACCCCAUAAACCCUUAUGUAUAAGCAUCAAACGUCUGAAAACAAAUUUAAUUAUUUACAACUUUCAACAAUGGAUCUCUUGGUUCUG